GAUGAACGCUAGCGGGAGGCUUAACACAUGCAAGUCGAGGGGCAGCAUAGGGUAGCAAUACUCUGAUGGCGACCGGCAAACGGGUGAGUAACGCGUAUGCAACCUACCCUGUACAGGGGGAUAACCCGGAGAAAUUCGGACUAAUAUCCCGUAAUAAUAUCCGGAGGCAUCUUUGGAUAUUUAAAGUUCCGACGGUACGGGAUGGGCAUGCGUAACAUUAACUGGUUGGUAAGGUAACGGCUUACCAAGGCUAUGAUGUUUAGGGGUCCUGAGAGGGUGGUCCCCCACACUGGUACUGAGACACGGACCAGACUCCUACGGGAGGCAGCAGUGAGGAAUAUUGGUCAAAUGGGCGCAAGCCUGAACCAGCCAUCCCGCGUGCAGGAAGACGGCCCUAUGGGUUGUAAACUGCUUUUCCAGGGAGAGAAACUUACGCACGUGUUGCGUGACUGACGGUACCCUGGGAAUAAGCAUCGGCUAACUCCGUG
RNAcentral lists this ribosomal RNA (488 nucleotides) under uncultured bacterium. RNAcentral's name for it is "bacterial SSU rRNA". It matches the Rfam family "Bacterial small subunit ribosomal RNA", at positions 28 to 507 of the family's 1533-position model. The record is from RNAcentral.